RNAcentral lists this ribosomal RNA (364 nucleotides) under uncultured bacterium. Its description in RNAcentral is "bacterial SSU rRNA". It matches the Rfam family "Bacterial small subunit ribosomal RNA", at positions 8 to 352 of the family's 1533-position model. The record is from RNAcentral.
AGAGUUUGAUCAUGGCUCAGGAUGAACGCUGGCGGCGUGCCUAACACAUGCAAGUCGUACGAGAACUCUUUAGCUUGCUAAAGAUAGUAAAGUGGCGCACGGGUGAGUAACGCGUGGGUAAUCUACCUCUGAAUUUGGGAUAACUCCGCGAAAGCGGGGCUAAUACCGGAUAAUAUUUCAGGAUCUUCGGGUCUUGAAAUCAAAAGUGGCCUCUACAUGUAAGCUACUGUUUGGAGAUGAGCCCGCGUACCAUUAGCUUGUUGGUAGGGUAAUGGCCUACCAAGGCUACGAUGGUUAGCUGGUCUGAGAGGAUGAUCAGCCACACUGGAACUGACACACGGUCCAGACUCCUACGGGAGGCAGC